GCAAAAUGAAUAUCAAGGACCUCCCAAACUUUUCAAAAUUUAUCCAGUCAUUCAGCACCUAAAUAACAAGUUCCAAAAUCUGUAUCUUCUGAACCAGAACAUUUCGAUAGACGAGUCCUUGACUCUAUGGAAAGGUCAUUUGUCUUUCAGACAAUACAUACCCCUCAAGGCUGCCAAAUUUGGCAUGAAAACGUAUGAACUCUGCGAGUCUAGCUCUGGCUAUGUUUGGUCUUUUCUCGUUUAUACUGGACGAGGCAUGGAACUAUCGAAUCAGUUUGUGACUGCAGAAACAAACAAAACUGCAGCAAUUGUAGUAAAACUGUUAGAAACUCUUCUUGGUCGUGGACACACAGUGUGGAUGGACAAUUUUUAUAUAUCCACCAGAUUUGGCUCGUUUCAUAAAGUCCAAAAAAACAAACUGUGUUGGAACUUUACGUGCUAACUGGAAAAAUGUCCCUCCUGCAGUGAAGAAUAAGAAAUUGAAGAAAGGAGAGCAGUGUGGUCAACACUCUGGAGAUGUGGCAGUUCUCGCGUGGCAAGAUAAAAAGUGAGUCACCAUGAUAUCUACAUACCACAAAGAUGAUGUGUGUGUGACUGUAAACAAAGCAAAGCGAGAAGAAACAAAGCCUGUGGUUGUUCGGGACUACAACAGAAACAUGCUAGGAGUGGAUCUGAAGGAUCAAAUGCUACAGCCGUACUUGCUGGAACGAAAGAGAGAAACAAAGUGGUACGUGAAAUUAUUCAAGAGACUACUCAAUGUAGCAACACAUAAUGCAAUGCAAAUAACAAAAACAUAGACUCCCUAAAAUUCAGACGUUUAUUUGCAGAAGGCCUCGUGGAAAAACACGGUUCUGGUGUUCCUCGUCUUGUAUACGGCCAUCCGUCAGUUGAGCCGCCACCUAAUAGACUCUCAGAACGACAUUUCCCGGAGCAUAUUCCUGCCACAGGAAAGAAGGCAAGACCUCAAAGAAAAUGUGUGUUGUGUACAAAACACGGAAAGAGGAGAGAUUCUACUUAUUGGUGUAGUGAAUGUGAGGCAGGGUUGUGUUUAGAUGGAUGUUUCAAGAACUACCAUACAAAACUCAACUUCUAAUCCACUUGCUUCCAUUGCUCAUACACAGGGUGCUCAUGUUAUAAGUCUAAUUCUGUUAGCAGAUGUGAUUGUGCUUGAACACUUCCUACCAGGAGUGCCAAAUCUCAUUGCGAGUGACACCCAAAUACAUUCGGAUGAUGGAAGAACAAGGGCAGAGGAAAAUGAAGAGUCAUCCAUUCAACACUGACACCACGUGGGAUGAUUUCAGGGCAAAGGCAGUAAUUCCUGUUUCUCCAUGACAACAUUGUCGAUGAUGAUGAAGACCAGUUUGGCGUGGAUGCUCACCAUCGGUUACCGG
This is a non-coding RNA of Zootermopsis nevadensis, 1391 nucleotides long. Lineage: Eukaryota; Metazoa; Arthropoda; Insecta; Blattodea; Termopsidae. The record is from RefSeq and is a predicted model, not a curated record.